RNAcentral lists this ribosomal RNA (674 nucleotides) under uncultured Curvibacter sp. RNAcentral describes it as "bacterial SSU rRNA". It matches the Rfam family "Bacterial small subunit ribosomal RNA", at positions 94 to 765 of the family's 1533-position model. The record is from RNAcentral. Lineage: Bacteria; Pseudomonadati; Pseudomonadota; Betaproteobacteria; Burkholderiales; Comamonadaceae.
AGUGGCGAACGGGUGAGUAAAGUAUCGGAACGUGCCCAGUCGUGGGGGAUAACGUAGCGAAAGUUACGCUAAUACCGCAUACGAUCUAUGGAUGAAAGCGGGGGAUCGCAAGACCUCGCGCGAUUGGAGCGGCCGAUAUCAGAUUAGGUAGUUGGUGGGGUAAAGGCUCACCAAGCCGACGAUCUGUAGCUGGUCUGAGAGGACGACCAGCCACACUGGGACUGAGACACGGCCCACACUCCUACGGGAGGCAGCAGUGGGGAAUUUUGGACAAUGGGCGCAAGCCUGAUCCAGCCAUGCCGCGUGCAGGAUGAAGGCCUUCGGGUUGUAAACUGCUUUUGUACGGAACGAAAAGGUUUGGCCUAAUAAGCUGAGCUCAUGACGGUACCGUAAGAAUAAGCACCGGCUAACUACGUGCCAGCAGCCGCGGUAAUACGUAGGGUGCGAGCGUUAAUCGGAAUUACUGGGCGUAAAGCGUGCGCAGGCGGUUAUGUAAGACAGAUGUGAAAUCCCCGGGCUCAACCUGGGAACUGCAUUAGUGACUGCAUAGCUGGAGUACGGCAGAGGGGGGAUGGAAUUCCGCGUGUAGCAGUGAAAUGCGUAGAUAUGCGGAGGACACCGAUGGCGAAUGCUAUCCCCUGGGCCUGUACUGACGCUCAUGCACGAAGCGUGGG